This 674-nucleotide long non-coding RNA is filed under the name Brassica rapa (field mustard). Its description in RNAcentral is "long non-coding RNA (BRAP_LNC004281)". Lineage: Eukaryota; Viridiplantae; Streptophyta; Magnoliopsida; Brassicales; Brassicaceae. The record is from RNAcentral.
UUGUGUUGCUAUCUGAAAAUAAUAUUUUUUAUUAUAAAGUUAAAAAAUUAAGAUAUAAAUUCUUUUAAUUAAAUAUUAGUCGAACAAAAAUAUUUAUAUAACGAUAUUUUCUAAACUAUUUCUAAUAUAUGAGUGUCGUAAAACUUUUAACACAAUAGUAAGUACAUAGUGUUAUGAACGUUUUUUAACAUAUAUAAAUAAUUUGAUGUUUGAUUUAACUGCUUAAAAUCAUUAAUAAUAACUUAACUUGUGAUUGAGCUCAAAACAAAUUUUAUUGCUUUUACUUUAAACCAGUUUAAUCCUUGAAACAUUAUAGCUUCAAUUGACGACUACUAGAAAAAUGAAAAAAAUGAACAAAAUAAAAAAUAAAAUUUCAUUUGAAGAAAUGAAAAAAUAAAAAAAAUCUGAAUUUUUGUUCAAUUUGUUCCUUACCAAAAUUGCAUAAGGAAAUUGUUUCUUAUAAAUUCAUUUCUCCAUGGGGAAUUUAGAAGAAAAAGUGGGAUCUACCUUUUAAUAAUUUGACUAAAAUUUCAAUAUAACUGGUAUAAGUUUUAAGAAACAAAGAAUUCACCAUAAUUAUUUUACUUCAGUAUGUUCACCAAUUAGAGAUUUAUUACUCCGAUUUUUGGAUUAAUAAGAAAUAAAAUAAUAAGUAUUCGUAAGAUGAUUAUGCC